UUUGAAUUGUAUUGUGGAAAUGUAUUACCAACAGAGGUGCAGGUGCCAGCCUAUUGAAAUAAAGCGUCAAUGAGGGUGAGAAUCCUGUUUGUCAUGUGCAGCCCUUUGUGCACGGUGUAUAUUUGCUGAGUCACACUCCUUGGCAUUGGAAUGCAAAGUGGGUGGUAAGUUUCAUGUAAAGGUAAACAUGCAAUUGAGACUGAUAGCACACAAGUACCAUGAGGGAAAUAUGAAAAGGACUUUGAAAAGAGAAUUAAAUGAGUUUGUAUUUGCUGAACACAAAGUAAACAGACUUGAUUUGCUUGGUGGGAGUGUUGCACUUGCUUGACAAGAGCUUUGGGCUGUGGGUGUAAUGAUUCUUUCUUUGCAUGCCAGUUUCUAUUUGUACAUCUGAUUACCUUUGCACAUGAAUGAUAAGUCUCCUGUGGGGGGUGGAUUGCAUGUGCAUGUAAUGAUUUGUGUUUUGAUAAAUGUGUCUGGUGUAUGUGUGUGUUCCUGUGCUUGGGGAUGCUUCCUUCCUUGGACUUACAAGCCCUGACACACACAUGCUGGCAAAAUGCUUCUGCUUGACCCGUCUUGAAACACGGACCAAGGAGUCUAACAGAUGUGCAAAGUUUGAAGGUGGUAUACCUUUGUGUGCAAUGAAAGUGUCAGCUGGGAUAUGUGCACCAGCACCCAAUUAAUUAGCGGACAGAGGUUUGAGUUGGAGCAUAUCUAUUAGGACCCGAAAGAUGGUGAACUAUGCCUGAACAGAAUGAAUUCAGAGGAAACUCUGAUGGAGGUUCGUAUCGAUACUGACGUGCAAAUCGUUCGUCAUAUUUGGGUAUAGGGGCGAAAGACUAAUCGAACCAUCUAGUAGCUGGUUCCCUCCGAAGUUUCCCUCA
Molecule: ribosomal RNA, 884 nt
Filed under: Alexandrium catenella
Lineage: Eukaryota; Dinophyceae; Gonyaulacales; Pyrocystaceae
Description: partial large subunit ribosomal RNA
Rfam family: Eukaryotic large subunit ribosomal RNA
Source: RNAcentral